ACCGCGAGUAAUACUAAAAUUUGCAGAGCUGUACUUUCCGUAUUUUACAACAUUUCGCAACCAAACUUUGCAAUUUUACUAAUUUUAGGAUGCUGUUUUGAGCUAAUGAUAUAUUUCGUCUUUCUUGUCUAGAUAAAAAAAGUCGAUAGCUGGAAUUGUGUAUUCGCAGGCUUUACAAUGCAAACAGACGUGAGACGAUUUAAAGUACUUUGAGUUACCUGUGAACACUUGCUGUUGUCUAGCUAGACAUUAUAUUUUCUACUUCUUGUUUACCUCAUCCUAUCCUUUUUCUUCAACCUCUAUCGUUACUUCCUGCCUUCAUACGUUUCAAAGCCAUCCUGGGCCAAUUGGCAAUUGUCACGAGGUGUGAUGUAACGAUGUUACGACUACUAGGACUGACACGCUUCCAAAAAUUUCGUACUACAUAUUCUUCUCUAAUAUAUUGUAAUAACGUUAUUAGAUGCCCUCAUACAUAAUUUAAACAACUGAGUACUGUAGGAGCUCUCGACUGCUACUCUGUAGGUUUUGGCGGGGACAUAACAAUAAGCGAUAAACAUUGGAAAUCACAACAUGCAGUGACGGCAACUGGAUAUGUGAUCUUAGGGGUGGAAAAAAUAUUUUAUUUUCUGGGGCCGCAACGAAGUGGGAAAAUUUUCUGCGAGUUGUCGACACAAGUCAUGUAUAAUUUAAAUUAAUUACAGUGCGUCUACUGUAAGUGGGGCCACUUAGAGAACACUAACCAAUCGCAUUGCAGAACAGAAAGAAAAAUCUAAUCAAACUAAAGCUCGUCCAAUCAAAAGAAAGAUUCAGGAAGCCAUUAACUGCAAUGUUUACUUUUACAUGUCUACUUUUACCGUUUGACAUUCGUUUAUUUGUUCGAAUUGUUUUUGCCCUAAUGCUGAUUGGCUAAUGCGCCGUUUGUUGAUUUUUUCACUUUCUGUUCUGCAAUGUGAUUGGUUAGUGUUCUCUAAGUGGCCCCACUUACAGUAGACGCACUGUAAAGGCUCACUUGCAAAGAGGACAAAUAAGACUUAAGAAUUAUUAAAUAACCAUAGUACCAUAUAAAAGCUGUGGCAGUCCUACAAGAUUUUCUUUCAUAAAGCAGCUGAGGAAAGGAUUUAAUUGAAAUAAACAAGUGAGGAAAGACUGUGAAUUUGUGAAAAUUGGAAAGCGGUUCUAAACUUUAUUAAUAGUUGCAUCAUAAUUAGUAGUCUGAAAACAAAUGUGAUUUGGAAGCUGGACAAAAGGUAUUGUAAGUUCUAUGCUUUUGUUCGCCUUUAUGGAAAUUUGUGCACUUUCACAGUGAGUGAACAUUUUGUUCUAGAUAAUGAAGCAAUUGCCCAAUGGAAACCUCAGACUUCAACCGUAAGAUUUUAGUAUUGAUCAACAAAUUGUGUACUUUCAGGUACAUUUCAAGUUUUCAACAUCAAUUGAAGUUUGGUUAGGAAACUACUUGAAGUUUAUCAAUCUUCCUAACGAUGUUUAUUUUCUAUUAACUAUGAUUGCCUUUAGUUGUGUUUUAUAUAAUAUAAACAAUGGCAGACACUUUGGGGAAAAAUAAAUUCCAUAUUUUGUUUAUCAGACAAGAAGACAGAGUAUGCAAGGUCUGCCAGUCAGGACUCGGGAGAAAUUGAAAUGGAACAUCACUUCCUGUGAAGCCUAAGUCUUUGGGAAUACUUUUUAAAUUACUUGGAAUGUGAUCCCACCAAUGAAGCAGAUCAUAAGCAGAUCUAAUGAACACAGUUUACCAGUUAAGAUAAUGAAAUCAACUGACGAAACUGUGAUAAAAUUAUCGAAAUUUAUCUCUUUCUGGUUUGAGAAGAGAUCUAAAUAGCCUGCUCGCAGACUUUGUUAUUCUUACGCCAAGCGACGAAAAAGUUCGUCGAUCUAAAUGCCUUGAAGAUCUAAAUGCCUUGAAAUCAUGAAUGCUGACAGUCAAUAGGCUGUUUAACUAACCCAAACUUCUUCAAUUAUACGCCGUAAAUAGGGUACUCAUCUGUAAAGUAAGUCUUCCUUUAUAUCAAUAACUUCAUUUGUAUUUCUUGUAUUACUCGAUAUGGACAGUAUGUCAUACUACCACAAAACAUUUUGCAUUUGCAGAUAUUUAUACCAACUAAUAAGCAAUACUAAAUACGUGUAUGUAAAGUCAUGCUAAUAAGGUAAGACAGUGGUAUGAUACAAAGCCAACAAAGGGCCAAAGGGGUAGAACAAUGUUGCCUGCAAAUGCGGCUACAUUACGCUAUCAAAGUUCUUUCAGAAAUUAUUUUGGGGGCACCCCCUACACCUAGUGUCUGUCCCUGAACAAAAUGGCUACUUAUUGGUGCAGUUAGUCCAUAGAUAUCUUAUAUACACUAGAUAGUGCAUCUAAUUAUUCUGCAAUUCAAAAAUUGAAGCCGUGAUUGCAGUCUCAGGUCGUUCCCAUGAAAUGAGAAGAUUCGUAUGUUUUCUAUUUCUUAAACAGGGAACUUAAACAUUAAGUUAAACCUAUUCCAAAUACAUUUUUAAACUAUUCAAAUGAUGAAAGUUAUUGUUGUUUUUAAGCGUUUAUUAGCAAGUGGGAACGACCAAUAUGGCCGCCAUCUAUUCAAAUGGGAGUAACCGCUGGGAUAUUCUUGGCUUCAAUUUUAUUAAAAGAGAUGCGCUAUCUAGUGUAUAUAAGAUAUCUAUGAGUUAGUCUCUUUCUUUCUAUUCUUUUUCUGCCCUUCCUUUUUUUCUUUCUUUGCUUUUCUUUCUUUCCCCCUUUUUCUUCCUUCCUUUUUUUCUUUCUGCCAGCAAAAAAUAUUUUCUGGAACCAUUGGUCCGCUAUAUUUUCCACCCCUGGUGAUCUUAAUUAGCAUAUAAUUUCGUCAACUUUCAAACCUAUAAAUUUCUUAUUAUUAUAGUAAGUCAUUUGUGAUCAUACUAUAGUAAGUCAUUUGUGAUCUAAUUAAUUAAUUGCAAGGACAGCAGGAUAUCCUGUAAAGUCCGAAUUGUCGUAUUUGAAUCAAUAUUCCUGGUUACGUUUCAUGAAAUUUAUUCAAAUGUAAAUGUUCAUGAUAUUGGGACAAUGUUUUACAUUGCUUGAGAAAAGUUUACAAUCAAAAGAGUUGCUUAUUCGUC
RNAcentral lists this long non-coding RNA (3099 nucleotides) under Paramuricea clavata. The record is from RNAcentral. Lineage: Eukaryota; Metazoa; Cnidaria; Anthozoa; Malacalcyonacea; Plexauridae.